CUGCGCAAAAACAGCAAACCACCGACGGGCAUCACGGCGUGCUACUCACUGCGCAACAAAACAGCAAGCCGACAGCGCGCGGAGCCGUCGAGGCUGCUGCACAUUUCGUCGAGCACCCUGCGCUCAUCGGAAAGUAGCAAGGGAAGGGGCUUUGCGCAGGGCUGCUGUUUUUGGAUCGGAGGGCUGGGCGCAGGGACUUGGUCGCCGUGGCUGCAGGAACAGCGGCGUUUCGCCGAGGAGCUGCGCAGCAAGGGAAAAGGAGAAGCUCGCUGCAAGGGGGCUGCUCGACCAUGGAGAUGUGGUCGGGGCGAGCAGCGCUGCGAGGGCAUUAGCUCCCUGUUCUAG
RNAcentral lists this unclassified non-coding RNA (345 nucleotides) under Zea mays. RNAcentral describes it as "misc RNA Zm00001eb341050". The record is from RNAcentral. Lineage: Eukaryota; Viridiplantae; Streptophyta; Magnoliopsida; Poales; Poaceae.